GCGCUUACCACUUUGUGGUUCAUGACUGGGGUGAAGUCGUAACAAGGUAGCGCUAGGGGAACCUGGCGCUGGAUCACCUCCUUA
Molecule: ribosomal RNA, 84 nt
Filed under: Vibrio parahaemolyticus
Lineage: Bacteria; Pseudomonadati; Pseudomonadota; Gammaproteobacteria; Vibrionales; Vibrionaceae
Description: partial 16S ribosomal RNA
Rfam family: Bacterial small subunit ribosomal RNA
Source: RNAcentral